CCUACGGGAGGCAGCAGUGGGGAAUAUUGGACAAUGGGGGGAACCCUGAUCCAGCGACGCCGCGUGAGUGAAGAAGUAUUUCGGUAUGUAAAGCUCUAUCAGCAGGGAAGAAAGAAAUGACGGUACCUGACUAAGAAGCCCCUGCUAACUACGUGCCAGCAGCCGCGGUAAUACGUAGGGGGCAAGCGUUAUCCGGAUUUACUGGGUGUAAAGGGAGCGUAGACGGCGAUGCAAGUCUGAAGUGAAAGGCGGGGGCACAACCCCCGGACUGCUUUGGAAACUGUAUGGCUGGAGUGCAGGAGAGGUAAGUGGAAUGCCUAGUGUAGCGGUGAAAUGCGUAGAUAUUAGGAGGAACACCAGUGGCGAAGGCGGCUUACUGGACUGUAACUGACGUUGAGGCUCGAAAGCGUGGGGAGCAAACAGGAUUAGAUACCCCAGUAGUC
RNAcentral lists this ribosomal RNA (443 nucleotides) under uncultured bacterium. RNAcentral describes it as "partial 16S ribosomal RNA". It matches the Rfam family "Bacterial small subunit ribosomal RNA", at positions 338 to 795 of the family's 1533-position model. The record is from RNAcentral.